UACGUAGGGGGCGAGCGUUGUCCGAAGUUACUGGGCGUAAAGCGCGCGUAGGCGGCUGUUUAAGUCCGGCGUGAAAGGUUCAGGGCUCAACCCGAACAGUGCGCUGGAGACUGGAGAGCUUGAGGACGGGAGAGGGAAGCGGAAUUCCGGGUGUAGCGGUGAAAUGCGUAGAUAUCCGGAGGAACACCGAUGGCGAAGGCAGCUUCCUGGCCCGUAUCUGACGCUGAGGUGCGAAAGCGUGGGGAGCGAACGGG
This 254-nucleotide ribosomal RNA is filed under the name uncultured bacterium. RNAcentral describes it as "partial 16S ribosomal RNA". It matches the Rfam family "Bacterial small subunit ribosomal RNA", at positions 524 to 776 of the family's 1533-position model. The record is from RNAcentral.